GGCUCAGGAUGAACGCUAGCGACAGGCUUAACACAUGCAAGUCGAGGGGCAGCGAGAAAGUGCUUGCACGUUUUGUCGGCGACCGGCGCACGGGUGAGUAACACGUAUGCAACCUGCCCUUGUCAGGGGGAUAACCGGUGGAAACGCCGACUAAUACCCCAUAGCAUUGAUUUAAGGCAUCUUUUAUCAAUUAAAGAAUUUCGGAAACGGAUAGGCUCGCGUGACAUUAGCUUGAUGGCGGGGUAACGGCCCACCAUGGCGACGAUGUCUAGGGGUUCUGAGAGGAAGGUCCCCCACACUGGAACUGAGACACGGUCCAGACUCCUACGGGAGGCAGCAGUGAGGAAUAUUGGUCAAUGGUCGAGAGACUGAACCAGCCAUGCCGCGUGAAGGUCACGGCCCUAUGGGUCUUAAACUUCUUUUGUAAGGGAGCAAUAAGUCUCACGUGUGGGAUGAUGAGAGUACCUUACGAAUAAGCAUCGGCUAACUCCGUG
RNAcentral lists this ribosomal RNA (494 nucleotides) under uncultured bacterium. Its description in RNAcentral is "bacterial SSU rRNA". It matches the Rfam family "Bacterial small subunit ribosomal RNA", at positions 21 to 507 of the family's 1533-position model. The record is from RNAcentral.